Molecule: RNA transcript, 1952 nt
Organism: Coffea arabica (coffee)
Lineage: Eukaryota; Viridiplantae; Streptophyta; Magnoliopsida; Gentianales; Rubiaceae
Gene name: methionine aminopeptidase 1A
Source: RefSeq, a predicted model, not a curated record
CCAUUCUUUGAGGCGGGCCUUAUUGAAAGUAAUCCUAAUAUGUAUAUGGUAAAAAUUUCCACACCCGAAUUAGAAAAAGAAAAGAGAGGCCCUGUUCAACUACUUUUCUUUUCUCUUUCGUUUUGUUGCUAUUCUGCUACUAAAUUUCCUUUUUCUACAAACUUCAAAACGGAGCUCAAAACCCUAGCUCAACCCUCGCUCCGUUAAAUUCCUAAAUCUUCCUACUGGAAACGAUCAGAACCCAGAUUCCAGAUUUUUUUUUAUGGCGGGUGGAGGAGCAGAUGCUGUUGAAACUGCAGCCUUGUGCUGUGCUAAAUGUGGCAAACCAGCUCAUCUUCAGUGCCCCAAAUGUGUAGAGCUGAAGCUUCCCCGUGAAGGUGCUGCUUUCUGCACACAGGACUGUUUCAAGGCAUCCUGGGGUUCUCAUAAAUCAAUUCACUUGAAAGCGAAAUUAUUGGAACUUUCACCUGGCAAUGAGCAAGAUGCUACCUCUCCUGCAAGCAGUUGGCUUUAUUGCUUGAAGAAAGGACAGGCUCGUACACUGAAAAUGCCAAACUUUGAUUGGACAGGGACACUAAGGCCGUAUCCUAUAUCAAAAAAGCGUGAAGUUCCUGCUCACGUUGAACAACCUGAUUGGGCAAGUGAUGGAAUCCCAAAGGUUGAGCCAAAUAGUGACCUGCAGCACACUGUUGAGAUCAAGACUCCCGACCAAAUUGAGAGAAUGCGAGAAACUUGUCGAAUUGCAAGAGAAGUUUUGGAUGCAGCUGCCCGUGUUAUUCGACCUGGCAUAACUACUGAUGAAAUUGAUGCGGUGGUUCAUGAAGCUACUGUUUCUGCAGGUGGAUACCCAUCGCCUCUGAACUAUCAUUUCUUCCCAAAAUCUUGCUGCACGUCAGUUAAUGAGGUAAUCUGCCAUGGAAUUCCGGAUGCAAGGAAAUUAGAGGAUGGCGACAUUGUAAAUGUAGAUGUAACUGUGUACUAUAAAGGGGUCCAUGGUGAUCUCAAUGAAACAUUCUUUGUGGGCAACGUUGAUGAAGCAUCUCAGCGGCUCGUGCAAUGUACAUACGAGUGUUUGGAGAAGGCAAUAUCUAUUGUCAAGCCUGGGGUACGAUUUCGUGAAGUUGGAGAGGUCAUCAAUCGACACGCUUUGAUGUCAGGCUUCUCUGUGGUCAAAUCUUAUUGUGGUCAUGGUAUUGGAGAGCUAUUCCAUUGUGCACCAAAUAUUCCGCAUUAUGCUAGAAAUAAAGCAGUUGGUAUAAUGAAGGCUGGCCAGACCUUUACUAUAGAACCAAUGAUCAAUGCAGGUGUUUGGCGUGACCGGAUGUGGCCUGAUGGAUGGACAGCUGUUACUGCAGAUGGAAAACGCAGUGCUCAGUUUGAACACACUCUUUUGUGAUGCAAUGAGUUCGUACACCACAUGAGAAUUUAGACUCCUUCAAGAGGGACAAUAUCUCAUGCAUGUGACGGAGACGGGGGUUGAAGUUCUCACAGCACGCUUGCCAACAUCCCCCAACGUGUUCCCCUGGAUACACUCAUAACCGAUAUCAUCCAGCCAGAUCAAUCUCAACCUAUUUUUGUGCUUUAGAGCUUUGACAAGAAGCCAGUGGUACCCGCUUCGCAUUCUCGGGGGAAUAUCAUACCUUUUUGCUGGAUUUUUUUACACUACUUUAUCAAAUUGACUUGCAUUUGUAAUCUAUUGGAUUGAAAAUUUUGAUAAGAAGGUUUGUAGUUCGAAAUGUGUCUGGCUGUAGAAAGCACCUACAAGCCACUCAAAGAUCUAAGUUCUCUUUUUCUUAAGAAUCUGCUAUAGCGUCCGCUUUUAAUAUUGGUUUGCUUAGGAGUUAAAUGACUGUGUGCUAAUAAUACAGUCUAUGUAGAUUUAUAAUGUGAUUUAGAAAGCUCAAAGAUGCUGAUUCAAUAAUUACGUUGUUAUAAUGCACUCUCAUUACUCC